AAAUCUUUCACCAAGAUCAAGAACCAAAAUUGACACUUGAGAUCAAUUCUUUCACCAUCAUUGAAAAGAUGAAAAUAAAAGAAGUUAACCAAAUCAAUCAUAAUUAAUCAUGAAUUAAAAUUCAAAUUAAUAUAAACAUAAAUCUAAAUUUUGCUUGAUAAAUCCAAGAUCAAUAACCAUAAUUAAUGUUGAAAUCAAAUCUUUAACCAUCCUAAAAAAGAUAGAAAUAAAACAAGUUAAUCAAAUCAAUCAUAAUUAACCAUGAAUUAAAAUUAAAAUUUCUAGCAAAAUAUAUCUGAAGACAUAAAAGUCUUGGAGUAAUUGAGAAGUAAGAGGCAUUCGGAUAUCAGAGGUCCCAGCUAUGAAUCCUCAUUCUAGCACCGAUAUGUGAACAAAGAGAAGAUAGUAUUUUAUUAAUCAAUAGGAUAUUUAUGAUGCUUCUCUAAAGUCUAUACUUAUAAACAUAGAAAAUAUAAAGUAUAUAAAAUUUUACUACUAAUAAAGAGUUAUUUUUAUUAAUAUGUAAAAAGAAAAAGAAAAGUUGUAAAUAAUUUUUAAUUGAAUUUAAAUAAUAAUAGCAGCAUAGAUAAAACAUAUAAUUAGAGCAACUUAUUAAGCCCUCCAAUUUUUUUUCAAAAUCAAUUUAGUUUUUCAACUAAUUUUUCACCUCUUUUAACCCUUAAACUUGUAAUUUUUGUCAAAUCACCCAAAAUGGAUGAAAAAAAGCUAGUUUGUUAACUUUGUUGAUUGCAUACAAGUGGAUUGAUACGUGAAUGAUAUGUCGACAUUUAAUUAAUUUUUUAAAAUUUUAAAAAAUAUUAAAUAUAUAUUUUAUAGUUUUGAAAUAUUUUUUAAAAAUACUUAAUAUAAUUAAUAUUCUUUUAGAAAUUUUAAAAAAAAUUAGAAAUUUUAAAAAAAAUAAUUAAAUGUUGAUUGAAGUAACAAUCCACGCAUUAAUAAAGUUAAAAAAAGUUCGGAUGAUAAUUUCUUAAAUUCCAGGUUAGGAAAUUCUAGUUCGUAUGUAUGGAAAAGUAUUUGGGCAGCAAAGGACUUAAUGAAAAAAGGGCAUUGUUGGAGGGUGGGGACGGGUACUAAUAUUUGCAUAAGCGAUGCUUGGAUUCCAGAUUCUGUUAAUUUUAGAUUAUCAUCAGAUAUUAAUUUUUUGCGUGAUGUUAAAGUUGGCGAGUUGAUUGAUAAUAAUACCAGAAGUUGGAAAAAAGAGUUGAUUACUAGUACCUUCCUGGAAGACGACGCAGCUAGAAUCCUCAGAAUCCCUCUGGCACAAACACCGCAUGAUGAUUUUCUUAUCUGGGGAGGCGAAAGGUCGGGUGAGUUUACGGUCAGAAGUGUCUAUCAAUUAUUACAAAAAUUGACUGACAAUCCUAGAGCUUAUGCUUUACAGACCAUCUAUGGGAAUUUUUAUAAAAAACUAUGGUGCCUGAAUCUACCAGCUAAAAUUAAGGUUACAAUAUGGAAGCUAUCUUGGAAUUAUCUGCCUACAAAGGUGAAUCUUCAACAUCGGAAGUUAGUAGUAAAUCCGAGCUGUCCCCGAUGUGGAGAAGAAGCUGAAACAAUGAACCACUUAUUUCGUUACUGUCAUGUUACAAGGGAGGUAUGGAGAUCAUUAUCGUUUCAGUGCAUUUUAAGGAAUCAUUGUGAAGAUUUUGUACAGUGGAUUACCUGGGCAAUAGAGCAGCUCAACCUUGAUCAAAGUCGCGUAUUUUGUUGUGCACUCUCGGCAAUAUGGGGCGACAGAAACAAAAGAAUACAUGAAGGUAAAAUUAGAAAGGGGACGGAAGUUGCAAAUCUUAUAAUCAGUUACAUCAAAGAAAUUGAUAGUCUUGAGAAGAGAGAUCUGAACCGUGCCUUAGAGAAAAAGAGAUGGUCGCCACCACAGGAAAGUUUCAUGAAGAUCAACUUUGAUGGCGCAUACGAUAAAGGAAAGAAUCAGUCGGGUGUGGGUAUUGUGGCCAGAGAUUCGAAUGGUACUAUUCUUUUUUCAUACUCAGAGAUUCAUUUUGGUAUUCCAUCAGCCUUUGCUGCUGAAGCAAUUGCCUGCCGGAAAGGCGUUCAAAUGGGAAUCAGGAGGGGAUGGCGACAUUUGAUCCUUGAAGGAGACUCCCUCACAAUAGUCAAAAAAUGUAAAUCGAAGAGUCAAGAUAGAUCUAUGGUGGGAGUAUACAUUUUUGACAUUCAACAGGAAAUCUAUGGACUUGAAAACAUCAGAUUUCAGUAUAUACCUAGAUCCGCAAAUGGUCUUGCUCAUAUCAUAGCAACAGAAUCAUUGAGAAGAGGAGAAGAGUUUUACCUGGAUAGGGGAGUUCCAGAUUAUGCCAUGGAUCAAGCUCGGCUGGAUGGGAGAAGUGAAGAAGAAGUCUCCAGAGAAGAAAAAUGACGAAUGAAAGGCUUUGAACAAGAAAAUGAAACGGACUGAUUUCUUUUGGCUUACCUUGGAAAUGAAAUCGUCAUUAUGAAAGGAGAUGACAGAAAAGACUGAAGACGGUUUCCCACGCUUCUUCUGAUUGGGCAAUGGGUCGGUGCUUUAAUGACCGAUUCUAGAACAUUCAUUAUAAAUAUCUAGAUUUUAUUUUGGUUAAGGCCAUCUGAUUUGGGCCGUGUUGGGUUUUAGG
RNAcentral lists this long non-coding RNA (2630 nucleotides) under Gossypium raimondii (Peruvian cotton). RNAcentral describes it as "long non-coding RNA (GRAI_LNC003149)". Lineage: Eukaryota; Viridiplantae; Streptophyta; Magnoliopsida; Malvales; Malvaceae. The record is from RNAcentral.